CCCGUCAGAUUGAACGCUGGCGGCAGGCCUAACACAUGCAAGUCGAGCGGUAGAGAGAAGCUUGCUUCUCUUGAGAGCGGCGGACGGGUGAGUAAUGCCUAGGAAUCUGCCUGGUAGUGGGGGAUAACGUUCGGAAACGGACGCUAAUACCGCAUACGUCCUACGGGAGAAAGCAGGGGACCUUCGGGCCUUGCGCUAUCAGAUGAGCCUAGGUCGGAUUAGCUAGUUGGUGGGGUAAUGGCUCACCAAGGCGACGAUCCGUAACUGGUCUGAGAGGAUGAUCAGUCACACUGGAACUGAGACACGGUCCAGACUCCUACGGGAGGCAGCAGUGGGGAAUAUUGGACAAUGGGCGAAAGCCUGAUCCAGCCAUGCCGCGUGUGUGAAGAAGGUCUUCGGAUUGUAAAGCACUUUAAGUGGGAGGAAGGGCCAGU
This 434-nucleotide ribosomal RNA is filed under the name Pseudomonas sp. G5. RNAcentral's name for it is "bacterial SSU rRNA". It matches the Rfam family "Bacterial small subunit ribosomal RNA", at positions 26 to 457 of the family's 1533-position model. Lineage: Bacteria; Pseudomonadati; Pseudomonadota; Gammaproteobacteria; Pseudomonadales; Pseudomonadaceae. The record is from RNAcentral.